UUUUUUUUUUUUUUUUUUAACAUAUUUCACAUGAAAUGCAGUAGAGGAAACCUUUUUUUUGGACAUAAAAACUAUCUUGGCAUAUUCAUUUUAGCACCAUGCCAUUUUCUCUCAAAUUUCUCUCAAUUUUCCCCCAACUAGACAUUCAUUCUCAUGGUAAUAAGGUUAGCUAUUUACUACCUAAUUAGUUAUUUUGACUUUAAAUUGAUUAAUGCUAAUAAUUUAUAAGAAUGAUGGACUUAAUAUCUUUAUUUCAUAUAUUUAUACUUAUUAUUUAGU
This 279-nucleotide unclassified non-coding RNA is filed under the name Hevea brasiliensis (rubber tree). Lineage: Eukaryota; Viridiplantae; Streptophyta; Magnoliopsida; Malpighiales; Euphorbiaceae. The record is from RNAcentral.